GUGGGGAAUCUUGCGCAAUGGGCGAAAGCCUGACGCAGCCAUGCCGCGUGAAUGAUGAAGGUCUUAGGAUUGUAAAAUUCUUUCACCGGGGACGAUAAUGACGGUACCCGGAGAAGAAGCUCCGGCUAACUUCGUGCCAGCAGCCGCGGUAAUACGAAGGGGGCUAGCGUUGCUCGGAAUUACUGGGCGUAAAGGGCGCGUAGGCGGACAGCUUAGUCAGAGGUGAAAGCCCAGGGCUCAACCUUGGAAUUGCCUUUGAUACUGGCUGUCUUGAGUUUGGGAGAGGUGAGUGGAACUCCGAGUGUAGAGGUGAAAUUCGUAGAUAUUCGGAAGAACACCAGUGGCGAAGGCGACUCACUGGCACAAUACUGACGCUGAGGCGCGAAAGCGUGGGGAGCAAACAGGAUUAGAUACCCGUGUAGUCC
Molecule: ribosomal RNA, 425 nt
Filed under: uncultured bacterium
Lineage: Bacteria
Description: partial 16S ribosomal RNA
Rfam family: Bacterial small subunit ribosomal RNA
Source: RNAcentral